AUUGAACGCUGGCGGAAUGCUUUACACAUGCAAGUCGAACGGCAGCACGAGAGCUUGCUCUUGGUGGCGAGUGGCGAACGGGUGAGUAAUAUAUCGGAACGUAUCCAAUAAUGGGGGAUAACUAAUCGAAAGGUUAGCUAAUACCGCAUACGCCCUACGGGGAAAGCAGGGGAUCUUCGGACCUUGCGUUAAUGGAGCGGCUGAUAUCUGAUUAGCUAGUAGGUGAGGUAAAGGCUCACCUAGGCUUCGAUCAGUAGCUGGUCUGAGAGGACGACCAGCCACACUGGAACUGAGACACGGUCCAGACUCCUACGGGAGGCAGCAGUGGGGAAUUUUGGACAAUGGGCGCAAGCCUGAUCCAGCCAUUCCGCGUGAGUGAAGAAGGCC
Molecule: ribosomal RNA, 387 nt
Filed under: uncultured bacterium
Lineage: Bacteria
Description: bacterial SSU rRNA
Rfam family: Bacterial small subunit ribosomal RNA
Source: RNAcentral